RNAcentral lists this ribosomal RNA (458 nucleotides) under uncultured bacterium. RNAcentral describes it as "partial 16S ribosomal RNA". It matches the Rfam family "Bacterial small subunit ribosomal RNA", at positions 338 to 795 of the family's 1533-position model. The record is from RNAcentral.
CCUACGGGUAGCAGCAGUGAGGAAUAUUGGUCAAUGGGCGAGAGCCUGAACCAGCCAAGUCGCGUGAGGGAGUACUGCCCUAUGGGUUGUAAACCUCUUUUGUCGGGGAGCAAAAGCCGGACGUGUCCGGCUGUGAGCGUACCCGAAGAAACAGCAUCGGCUAACUCCGUGCCAGCAGCCGCGGUAAUACGGAGGAUGCGAGCGUUAUCCGGAUGUAUUGGGUUAAAAGGGUGCGCAGGCGGAUUUUUAAGUCAGCGGUAAAAUCGUGGGGCUCAACCCCAUCCAGCCGUUGAAACUGGGGAUCUAGAGUGUGCGAGAGGGAUGCGGAAGGAGUGGUGUAGCGGUGAAAUGCAUAGAUAUCACGCAGAACCCCGAUUGCGAAGGCAGUAUACCGGUGCACAACUGACGCUCAGGCACGAAAGCGUGGGUAUCGAACAGGAUUAGAUACCCGGGUAGUC